AGUGAACGCUGGCGGUAGGCCUAACACAUGCAAGUCGAACGGCAGCACAGUAAGAGCUUGUUCUUACGGGUGGCGAGUGGCGGACGGGGGAGGAAUACAUCGGAAUCUACUUGUUCGUGGGGGAUAACGCAGGGAAACUUACGCUAAUAGCGCAGACGACCUACGGGUGAAAGCAGGGGAUCUUCGGACCUCGCGCGAUUCAAGGACCCGAUGUCGGAUUAGCUAGUUGGGGGGGUAAAGGCCCACCAAGGCGACGAUCCUUAGCUGGUCUGAGAGGAUGAUCGGCCACACUGAAACUGAGACACGGUCCAGACUCCUACGGGAGGAAGCAGGGGGAAAUAUUGGACAAUGGGCGCAGGCCUGACCCAGCCAGCCCGCGGGGGUGAAGAAGGCCUUCGGGUUGUAAAGCCCUUUGUUGGGAAAGAAAAGCAGCAGGUUAAUACCCCGCUGUUCUGACGGUACCCAAAGAAUAAGCACCGGCUAACUUCGUG
This 491-nucleotide ribosomal RNA is filed under the name uncultured bacterium. Its description in RNAcentral is "partial 16S ribosomal RNA". It matches the Rfam family "Bacterial small subunit ribosomal RNA", at positions 29 to 507 of the family's 1533-position model. The record is from RNAcentral.